Molecule: long non-coding RNA, 1203 nt
Filed under: Eucalyptus grandis
Lineage: Eukaryota; Viridiplantae; Streptophyta; Magnoliopsida; Myrtales; Myrtaceae
Description: long non-coding RNA (EGRA_LNC005652)
Source: RNAcentral
AGAGAUUGUGACUUUUCCCAAUUGGUGGAAUUGAUGUCUCAAAAGCAAGUCCUUGAUAAAGAUUGGAGAGAACAAUGAGUUUUGGAUGCAUGAUCAACUUAGAGAUCUCGGAAGGGAAAUUGUUCGUCAAGAAAAUCCAAUGAAUCCAAAAGAGCGUAGUAGGUUAUGGAUUCAGGAGGAAGUCAUCCAUACAAUAAGGACAAAGAAGGUGGAACACUUCGUGAGAGAACUGAUAAAUUCUCUUUUUCUUCUUGGUUUUAAUACUUUUCCUUGAUAAAAUAGAAUGCUGAAUACUACUCGUUUCUUGCUCUCAUUUGCAGAUGAGAAGAACGUUCAAGCAAUGAAACUAGAAUUGUAUCAUGCAAAAGAACCUAUCAAAGGUGAAGAGAUUGGAAGGUUUGAAAAUCUGAGGUUCUUUAGUAUUCAUGGAGGAACGUUGGUUGGCAACCUAAUGGAUUGUUUUCCCAAUUUAAGAUGGAUUGAUUGGAAUUCUUCUAAAUUAAAGUGUCAGUUAACCAAUAUGUGCUUAAAGAAUUUAGUUGUCCUUCAACUUUGUUUAAUUGACGGUAUAGACGAUCUGAAGUUAUGGAGCUUGAUAAAGGUGCGUCAUAUGCUUAUUUCUAUUCUUUGUCCUUGAAAGUAACAUUUGAAUUGUUCCUCCAUUUGAUAAUGCAUUCACUUUUUAUAGGAGGCAAGAAAAUUGAAAGUUCUUAGACUUAUUGACUGUCAUCGCAUAACCAAAACACCAGACUUAUCAGGAUGCUCAACUUUAGAGAGGCUUACUUUUUGGAGUUGCUCUGGUUUAAGGAAGAGUCAUUGCUCUAUUGGGAAGUUAAAGCAUCUAAUAGAGUUAAAGUUUAUUCAAUGCCCUCAGUUUGUUGAAGAAAUUGGAGACUUAAAUAAUCUAGAGCGCUUCUCUUUAACGGAUUGUUGUGGAAUAAAGGGACUACCAGAUUCCAUAUAUAAGUGGAAAUCAUUACGAGAGUUGCGUCUUUCAAUUCGAGGUCCAGUGGAGUUAUCAACUGCUAUCAGAAAGCUUGGGAAUCUAGAAGUGCUUUGCAUUGAAGCUGAUUUGAAAGGUCAACUUCCUUCUGAAAUUGGCUUGCUUCCGCAGCUGCAACUACUGGUGUUAAAAGGGUGUGAUGAAAUCCGAGAGUUGCCAGUUCUCCCAAUAAGUCUAUUCUCUUUGGAAGUGUCAUCUAG